GUCUUAAGCAUGCAAGUCAGACGGAAUGUAGUAAUACAUUCAGUGGCGAACGGGUGAGUAACGCGUGGAUAAUCUACCUACGAGAUGGGGAUAACUAUUAGAAAUAGUAGCUAAUACCGAAUAAAGUCAAUUAAGAUGUUAGUUGAUGAAAGGAAGCCUUUAAAGCUUCGCUUGUAGAUGAGUCUGCGUCUUAUUAGCUAGUUGGUGGGAUAAGAGCCUACCAAGGCUAUGAUAAGUAACCGGCCUGAGAGGGUGAUCGGUCACACUGGAACUGAGAUACGGUCCAGACUCCUACGGGAGGCAGCAGCUAAGAAUCUUCCGCAAUGGGCGAAAGCCUGACGGAGCGACACUGCGUGAACGAAGAAGGUCGAAAGAUUGUAAAGUUCUUUUAUAAGUGAGGAAUAAGCUUUGUAGGAAAUGACAAAGCGAUGACGUUAAUUUAUGAAUAAGCCCCGGCUAAUUACGUGCCAGCAGCCGCGGUAAUACGUAAGGGGCGAGCGUUGUUCGGGAUCAUUGGGCGUAAAGGGUGAGUAGGCGGAUAUGCAAGUCUAUGUGUAAAAUACCACAGCUCAACUGUGGAACUAUGCUGGAAACUGCAUGACUAGAGUCUGAUAGGGGAAGUUAGAAUUCCUGGUGUAAGGGUGGAAUCUGUUGAUAUCAGGAAGAAUACCAGAGGCGAAGGCGAACUUCUAGGUCAAGACUGACGCUGAGUCACGAAAGCGUAGGGAGCAAACAGGAUUAGAUACCCUGGUAGUCUACGCUGUAAACGAUGCACACUUGGUGUUAAUCGAAAGGUUAGUACCGAAGCUAACGUGUUAAGUGUGCCGCCUGGGGAGUAUGUUCGCAAGAAUGAAACUCAAAGGAAUUGACGGGGGCCCGCACAAGCGGUGGAGCAUGUGGUUUAAUUCGAUGAUACGCGAGGAACCUUACCAGGGCUUGACAUAUACAGGAUAUAGUUAGAGAUAACUAUUCCCCGUUUGGGGUCUGUAUACAGGUGCUGCAUGGUUGUCGUCAGCUCGUGCCGUGAGGUGUUGGGUUAAGUCCCGCAACGAGCGCAACCCUUGUUGUCUGUUACCAGCAUGUAAAGAUGGGGACUCAGACGAGACUGCCGGUGAUAAGCCGGAGGAAGGUGAGGAUGACGUCAAAUCAUCAUGGCCCUUAUGUCCUGGGCUACACACGUGCUACAAUGGCCUGUACAAAGCGAUGCGAAACAGUGAUGUGAAGCAAAACGCAGAAAGCAGGUCUCAGUCCAGAUUGAAGUCUGAAACUCGGCUUCAUGAAGUUGGAAUCGCUAGUAAUCGUAUAUCAGAAUGAUACGGUGAAUACGUUCUCGGGCCUUGUACACACCGCCCGUCACACCACCCGAGUUGAAGAUACCCGAAGCUAUUAUUCUAACCCGCAAGGGAGGAAGGUAUCUAAGGUAUGUUUAGUGAGGGGGGUGAAGUCGUAACAAGGUAGCCGUACUGGAAAGUGUGGCUGGAUCACCU
RNAcentral lists this ribosomal RNA (1487 nucleotides) under Borrelia miyamotoi. RNAcentral's name for it is "bacterial SSU rRNA". It matches the Rfam family "Bacterial small subunit ribosomal RNA". Lineage: Bacteria; Pseudomonadati; Spirochaetota; Spirochaetia; Spirochaetales; Borreliaceae. The record is from RNAcentral.